UGGCAUUUUUGAAUAUCUAAAAGUAUUUUAAAUGAAUUAAAAACUAUUUAAAACAAAAUAAUUCACAAAAAAUAUUAAAUGGAAUCACAAAAAUAAUUAAAAAUCAUAUUAUAAAGCUAGAAUUUAAGAGAAUUUUUUUGCAAUUAGUCCCAUAUUUUUGUGAUUCCAAAUAAAGAAGUUAUGAAUUUUUGAAAAUAAAUGGAUUAAAAGAAAAAUAAAACAGAAAUAAAAAAUAUGAAAAAACCACAACGCUCAGAUCCACUUUCAUUAAUUGACGUGGCUGAUCCUAAGGCCAUGAGGUGCGCGCGCAUGGUGUUCACAAGUCAACAACAUCACAUAUUG
Molecule: long non-coding RNA, 342 nt
Filed under: Lathyrus oleraceus (garden pea)
Lineage: Eukaryota; Viridiplantae; Streptophyta; Magnoliopsida; Fabales; Fabaceae
Description: Pisum sativum (pea) long non-coding RNA (PSAT_LNC015074)
Source: RNAcentral